CAGUCGCCACGGUAAUACGGAGGGUGCAAGCGUUAUCCGGAUUUAUUGGGUUUAAAGGGUCCGUAGGCGGAUCUGUAAGUCAGUGGUGAAAUCUCACAGCUUAACUGUGAAACUGCCAUUGAUACUGCAGGUCUUGAGUAAAUUUGAAGUGGCUGGAAUAAGUAGUGUAGCGGUGAAAUGCAUAGAUAUUACUUAGAACACCAAUUGCGAAGGCAGGUUACUAAGAUUUAACUGACGCUGAUGGACGAAAGCGUGGGGAGCGAACAGGAUUAGAGACCCCCGUAGUCCCUGUCUCUUAUAC
This 301-nucleotide ribosomal RNA is filed under the name uncultured bacterium. RNAcentral describes it as "partial 16S ribosomal RNA". It matches the Rfam family "Bacterial small subunit ribosomal RNA", at positions 509 to 807 of the family's 1533-position model. The record is from RNAcentral.